This 1335-nucleotide ribosomal RNA is filed under the name uncultured bacterium. RNAcentral describes it as "bacterial SSU rRNA". It matches the Rfam family "Bacterial small subunit ribosomal RNA", at positions 28 to 1369 of the family's 1533-position model. The record is from RNAcentral.
GACGAACGCUGGCGGCGUGCUUAACACAUGCAAGUCGAGCGAAGCAGUUAAGUUGAUUUCUUCGGAUUGAUUCUUGACUGACUGAGCGGCGGACGGGUGAGUAACGCGUGGGUGACCUGCCCCAUACCGGGGGAUAACAGCUGGAAACGGCUGCUAAUACCGCAUAAGCGCACGAAGCUGCAUGGCUUUGUGUGAAAAACUCCGGUGGUAUGGGAUGGGCCCGCGUCUGAUUAGGCAGUUGGCGGGGUAACGGCCCACCAAACCGACGAUCAGUAGCCGGCCUGAGAGGGCGACCGGCCACAUUGGGACUGAGACACGGCCCAAACUCCUACGGGAGGCAGCAGUGAAGAAUAUUGCACAAUGGGGGAAACCCUGAUGCAGCGACGCCGCGUGAGCGAAGAAGUAUUUCGGUAUGUAAAGCUCUAUCAGCAGGGAAGAUAAUGACGGUACCUGACUAAGAAGCCCCGGCUAACUACGUGCCAGCAGCCGCGGUAAUACGUAGGGGGCAAGCGUUAUCCGGAUUUACUGGGUGUAAAGGGAGCGUAGACGGCAAGGCAAGUCUGAUGUGAAAACCCAGGGCUUAACCCUGGGACUGCAUUGGAAACUGUCUGGCUCGAGUGCCGGAGAGGUAAGCGGAAUUCCUAGUGUAGCGGUGAAAUGCGUAGAUAUUAGGAAGAACACCAGUGGCGAAGGCGGCUUACUGGACGGUAACUGACGUUGAGGCUCGAAAGCGUGGGGAGCAAACAAGAUUAGAUACCCUGGUAGUCCACGCCGUAAACGAUAAUAAAGGGUGUGGGGGGAGCAAAGCUCUUCGGUGCCGCCGCAAACGCAUUAAGCAUUCCACCUGGGGAGUACGUUCGCAAGAAUAAAACUCAAAGGAAAUGACGGGGACCCGCACAAGCGGUGGAGCAUGUGGUUUAAUUCGAAGCAACGCGAAGAACCUUACCAGGUCUUGACAUCCCGAUGACCGGCCCGUAACGGGGCCUUCUCUUCGGAGCAUUGGAGACAGGUGGUGCAUGGUUGUCGUCAGCUCGUGUCGUGAGAUGUUGGGUUAAGUCCCGCAACGAGCGCAACCCUUAUGGUCAGUUACUACGCAAGAGGACUCUGGCCAGACUGCCGUUGACAAAACGGAGGAAGGUGGGGAUGACGUCAAAUCAUCAUGCCCUCUAUGACUUGGGCUACACACGUACUACAAUGGCGUUAAACAAAGAGAAGCAAGACCGCGAGGUGGAGCAAAACUCAGAAACAACGUCCCAGUUCGGACUGCAGGCUGCAACUCGCCUGCACGAGGUCGGAAUUGCUAGUAAUCGUGGAUCAGCAUGCCACGGUGAAUAA